GCGGUCGUAGCUCAAUUGGUUAGAGCACCGGUUUGUGGUACCGGGGGUUGCGGGUUCAAUUCCCGUCGAUCGCCCCA
RNAcentral lists this transfer RNA (77 nucleotides) under Sphingomonadaceae bacterium. RNAcentral's name for it is "tRNA-His". It matches the Rfam family "tRNA". Rfam says of the family: Transfer RNA (tRNA) molecules are approximately 80 nucleotides in length. Their secondary structure includes four short double-helical elements and three loops (D, anti-codon, and T loops). Lineage: Bacteria; Pseudomonadati; Pseudomonadota; Alphaproteobacteria; Sphingomonadales; Sphingomonadaceae. The record is from RNAcentral.